UACGAAGGGGGCUAGCGUUGCUCGGAAUCACUGGGCGUAAAGGGUGCGUAGGCGGGUCUUUAAGUCAGGGGUGAAAUCCUGGAGCUCAACUCCAGAACUGCCUUUGAUACUGAGGAUCUUGAGUCCGGGAGAGGUGAGUGGAACUGCGAGUGUAGAGGUGAAAUUCGUAGAUAUUCGCAAGAACACCAGUGGCGAAGGCGGCUCACUGGACUGGUAUUGACGCUGAGGUGCGAAAGCGUGGGGAGCAAACAGG
This 253-nucleotide ribosomal RNA is filed under the name uncultured bacterium. RNAcentral describes it as "partial 16S ribosomal RNA". It matches the Rfam family "Bacterial small subunit ribosomal RNA", at positions 524 to 776 of the family's 1533-position model. The record is from RNAcentral.